This 17566-nucleotide long non-coding RNA is filed under the name Medicago truncatula (barrel medic). RNAcentral describes it as "long non-coding RNA (MTRU_LNC007681)". The record is from RNAcentral. Lineage: Eukaryota; Viridiplantae; Streptophyta; Magnoliopsida; Fabales; Fabaceae.
AACAAACAACUACAUGGUCUAAUGCAUCUUCCUGAUCUUCAAGGCAAUACAAAUACAAACAAUUCAAAUUCUUCCAAUCUUUUCAACCUUAUGGUUCAUGAUCAAUUCAACAACAUGAGUAGUACCCAAGGAACAACACUUUACAUUAACAACAAUAGCUCUUUAAGUGAUCAUCAAGUUGGUUUUGUCAAUUCAAUGCAACAUGGUCAAAACAUGUCUAGUCCUCACAUGUCUGCCACUGCAUUGCUUCAAAAAGCUUCUCAGAUUGGUUCAACUAAUUCUACCAACAAUAACAAAGGUAGUAAUAAUGAUCAUAAAUCAGGUGAUAGGGACUUUGUUGUGUCUGAUCACAACAACAUCAAUGCCACUUUUGGAAAUAGAAGUUCAAGUAUUGAAAAUGAUCAUGACAACAACGAUCUUCAUGGAUUGAUAAACUCUAUUGCAAAUGGAAACACAUCAUCCAUAUUUGGCAAUGAAAGCAAUCUUAAUAUGAGAUUUGGUGGAUCUGAUAAGUUAACUUUAGAUUUUCUUGGUGUUGGAGGAAUGGUCAGAAAUAUGAGUGGUGGAUUUUCACAAAGUGAACAACAACGUGACAUGAUGAAUACUAGUAUGGUUUCUUUGAAUCAUGACCUAAAAUCAGCACAUUCAAGUCAACAUUUUGGAAGCUCAAAUAUCUUGCAAUGAAGAUUGGGGUGAGAAAUUUAUUAAUUUAAGGAAAUAUUGCUUGUUAGUUACAUGUGAAUUAUUCAUUAAUUAAGUAGUAAACUUUGUUUCAAACAUUUAUUUAUUUUAUUUUUGUUUUCCUCAAAAGAAGUGCAGUUCAUUGGUAAAAUGAGGUUCCAAUUCUAGAAAUUACUACAAAUUACAAUCCCUUAUUUUAUUUUAACACGUCCCUUUCCUUAUUCUUUGCUCUCUAUGAUGUGAUAGAGAGAUGUAAUAAAUUCACUUUUGAAUUUCAUGUGUGAGCGAACAUGAGAUAAUAAAGUUUAUAGAAAAAAAAAAUUGAUUCAUUAUAGAUUUUCCUCUAAGAAAAUUAUUUCUCAAUCACAGAGGGUAAAAUUCCAUGCUCGAACCAAGAAAAAAUAUUCAACCUAACAAUUUCAGCAUUGUUAGUUGUGCUAGGUUUUACGGACCAGGACAUCAUCGUUGUCUACCAAUUUUUUUUUACAGAUUUGAGGCGAUUUAAUUUGGUUGAUAAACACGAGUAAAUUACUCAAAUGCCCCUUGGCAGUUAACUGCCGAAAUUUUAAAAAAUCGGCUGCAGUUAACUGUCGAGAAAUUUCAAACCUGAAAUUAAAUAAGGAAAUACACCUAUGUUUUCCUUAAUUAAAUUUAAAUCUUUAAUCCUUUUAAGGAAUUAAACAUAAUUAUUUUUAUGAUUUCAUUCAUAUGAUUUUGUUGCUAUAAAUGAAGAAAUAUGAGAGAUGAAUAAUAUCUGUAAUCGGUAGUUAAUAGACCUAAAAUGAUGAUUCAAUAAAAAAAAUGCAACAACAAAAACGUUACAAAUGAUAGAAUAAUUAUAUUUGUAAUUAUUAGUAAUUAAUUUCAUUGAUGUUGUUAUUAUUCAUAAGUUUGACUAACCUAUUAUUACUUUAUACUAAUAUUUUAGAUAUUAUUACUUUAAUUAACAUGAAAAACGCAACAACAAAAAAUAAGGGGGAUUUAUUGGAUUAAGAUUCUAUGGGAUUUUAAAAGAUUUUUUAAUUAUGAAAAAGUCUUGUGGUAUUCAAUCAAAACUUUUUGCAGCCGGUUCUUUAAAAUUUCAACAGUUAACUGUCGAAGGAUAUUUGAGUAAAUUACUCGUAUUUCUCAGUCAAACCAAAAGUGUGAACAGCAAUACUCAAUUUCAAAAACAUGUAUAUGCCACGGUAAAUAAAGCCAGUUGUUGACUUGUUGAUAGUUGUGUUGUUAUUACUUGUGUACAAAUGCUUACCAAACGAGGGUGGGAUGUUGGCACUCUGUUAUGUUAAGAAUCUUCACGUUUUGGCUAUAUUCCAAUGGAAGCGACAGAGCCUCAUUUCCGUUCAAUUUCAUCUUUGUUUUUUUAUAUACGACGUACAAAUACUAACUAACUAAAGGUACAUUAACUUUAAAAUAAAGCAAGAAAUUUUGUAGUAUUGCUUACCUAAUAUAUAUAUACCUUACUUUUAAAAAUACAUAUUAAAAUAUAUGUAAUAAAAAAUUAUAUUAAAUGCUAUAUAAAUGUUAAAUGUUAGAGUCUCACAUUGAAUAUGAGAAUAGUAUAACAAUAUGUUUACAAGUUAUUUAUAAUAGGUUCUUAAUAAUAAUACUAAAUAAAUAUCAAAACUUAUUUAUAUAGAAGUUAUUUUAGUAUUAUUAAGAGCCUAUACUUUUUUUUUGAGCAAAAGAGCCUAUACUUAAUUGAUAAGAAAUUGUUACCAAUAUACCAACUCCAUUAAGUACCAUAAAUUUGAGAAAGAGACCUUGCAUAUUUUUCAGGUGAUUUUGUUGACAUCUUUUUCUCUUAACACUAGGAAGGACCCUUUAGUUUUUCAUUGUAAUAUAAAUAUUCUUGUACAAGUUGACUACCUUUGAAUUUGCAUGUCGUCGUUGAUGGCUAUAUAUAGGGUUAGAUCUAACGUCAUUGUUCAUUUGGUGGAAGAUUUUUAUGAGGAGUGUGUGGUACAUAACAUAUGCAACAUAAAUAACAUAUUAGCAGUAGUCUCUGCAAUGUUCGUUAUUGUAAUUACUGGUAAAAUAGCUGCGACACUUUUGUCGCAUGUAAAUUCCUUCUUCACAUGGAAAUCACCCGUCCGUGAGUGAGUGAAUGAAUGAGUGACUAUUAACCAACCAACCCAGUCAUUUCAUUUCGCCUUCACUCUCUACCCGUUACAGUUUUUCUAACUUUCUUUCUUUAGAUUGAGUAACUUCAAUAAUGCAAUGCAACUAAAGAUUAUUACUUACAACUUCUAUGCUCAAAUAAUUGUUGCAAUGCAAUUAAACACUCACUCAUGCGUGUCCCCGUGAGCCUAAUCCAGUUUGUAGAGACAUUGCAUUAUAUAUAUAGAGGUUGGGGUUCAAACUCAAACACUCUACUUAUUCACCUUAAAAAAAAUGAAUUUAAGUCAAUUGGCUACCUGACUAAAAAAAAACGCACUCAUAUGUUUUAUUUCAUAAGCUGGUUUUAGACCUUUUUAUCUGAAAAACUUAUCUCACAUUGUAGUUGAUAUGUAUGGUUAGACCUUUUGUGAGGUUUGUGUGUCCCCUAGUCUAUCACUCUCUCACAGUUAAACUACUUUGUUUUUGAGAGGUUUGUAUACCUUACUUAAAAACAACUAUCAUUCUCUCAUCAAUUUCAUCAUUAAGCUAUUAAAAUUAACUAAAAAGUACCUAAACUAUUCUCACAUAUAACUAUUAGCCCCUUGGUUGACAAAGUUAAUUUUUUUUAUGAUGGUUUAUGGACUAAAUUGAUAUAUUUUUUAUAGUUUAAAGAUCUUCUAGUUGAUUUUAAUAACUCGAAGGCUAUAUAUGUGAAAAAAUUGAUAGUUUAAGGAACAAGUUGAUUGUUUAUUCUUAAUUUGAUUGAAGUCUACUGGCACACAAAUUUACAAGGAUACGGUGGAUAUGGGGAAGUUAUACCUGAUAUCCCUACAUUUAAUCUUUUACCCCCUACAAAUUGUUGAAAAUGCCAAAUUUACCUUUUAUCAUUUCACUUCACCCUGCAUAAAAUUUUAGCCAACAAUACACUUCCGAGAUUUAAUACUCCAAUUUUCGGAAUAUUCAUAUCAAAUUUUUAUGGUAGAUUAAUUUGUAAACCGGAACAAUUGAGUAAAGAAUUAUUAUCAGAAUUCUUUCUUCUUUCAUCGAGGUUUGAGAGACAAUGAAAGAUGGAAAAUAGAAUACAACAACCUGUAUUAGUUAAUAUAAAAUUAAGUGCAAAGCAAAGAUCAUGAUACCAAACCUCAUCAAUUCUUCUUCCAAUUCAUUUUAUUUAGAUCUAAAAAAAUGAAAGGCCGUAUAUUUCUGGAGUAGAAUUUUAGAUGUAAGGUUGGGAAAUCAAAAAACCUGGCUAAAACUGCAGAAACCUGUUUUCUGAAUUCUUUCUAAAAAAACAGUGUAAAAAAAUGCUUGUCUCUUUAUCUGUAGAUCUAAAAAAAAAUCAUUUCUAAUUCAUCUUGUUUGGAAAUAUGAAUACGAAAAGUUGUAUAUUUUAAUUUUUUUUAUUUUUACAAAAUACCGUUGUUGGGAAUGUGAAUAAUCUAAGAUUAAAUGUAGGGGUGGUAAAAGAUUAAAUGUAGGGGUAUAUGGUAUAAUAUCCUGGAUAUGGUAGGCUUAUAUUACUUAGAACCCAAAUCAUGUUACUUAGGCCCGUCAUCAUGGACUUUUUUCAUGUGGUUUCCAUGCAGGCUAGUUGAAUAUUGCUCUUUAGGCAUCCAUGUUUUGCUCUCAGACAUUUUGAAAUUAUUAUUUUACCUCAAUGAAAAUUAAUUACCAUUUGUUGAUGAACGAUGGUUAGUUUUCAUUCUCUUAUGAACAGUAGUUAAUUGUCGUUCUAGGGCAUUUUAUGUGGUUCAGAUUGCGCAGACAGUUUUUGUGGUCCACGAUACAUAAAAACUUCUAUAAAUUGGUGUGUUUGGUUCAUUUGAAACCACACCACAAAAUCAUGAAUAUUUAUCUAGUAGAUCCGAACACCAAAUUAGCGCAGUUAACUACAACGGGGAAAACUCAAUAUGUUUAGGGUUCAGGUUAAUGCUAUAUCGGUUGACUUGAAGGAACAUAGUUGGACCAAAUUAACAGUCGACUCAACCACAAAGACACAAGAAAGGUGGAAAGUGUUGAGUAUCGUCAUCCAUUCGUUUGACUCAUAUGAAAGCGUCAAGUUCACCCAUAUGAAGUUCAAGAACAACGACAUCGUGAGAACCAUCAAGUUAGACGCUUCAUUGGUCAAAUAUUUUUUAGAUGUUCCGGAAAGUUUGAUUCAGAUUAGGACCUUCAAAGAAAACAGGACUUGCAUGGAUAGACCAAAAGAAAUAAGUAUGUCUUAUUCGUGAUUUUGUAUGUGUUUUAUUAUGUUGUUAAAUUAUGUUAGUGUAUUGUGUUUUAUUAUGUUUAAUGUAUGUUUUUGUUAACUUAUGUCAUUGAAAUUAUGUUAAUGUAUUGUAUUUUAUUAUGUUUAAUGUAUGUUCUUCUGAGCUUUCCUUUGUAACUAAUGAUUAACUACAGUUUCUUCUGAAAACAACAAUUAACUAUUGUUCCUAGAAUGGGAGUUAACUCUUGUUUAACAACGAAAAAUAAUUAAUUAUUAUUUCGGAUAAAAUAGUCAAUUUGAGACGUGUUAAAACAAAGUAUGAGUGUCUAACGAACAAUUUUCAAGAUAGUUUAGUCCUUUUUGGGUUCUACCUUUUUUUUUUAUGAGUAACUUCUACACCUAGUUUCCAUUCUUUUUUGUGUUAAUUGUCCGAUUUCUUAGCAUGUGCGUAACUCACGCAGCGUGACUUAAGUCACACAUGUGUAAAAACUAAGUCAUGUAUUUUUUACACUUGCGCUAAUUAACUAACGCAAGGGUAUUUUCGGCAACACUGCAGGGCGCGAGUGUUUUGUGUUGGGUGAAGAGCAGAAUUCUAAAGUCAUAUAUAUAUAUUAUGGUUUUAAAAGGGUAAUUGCUAAAUCAGAUUCAUAGGAAGCAACUAAGUUAAUAUUGAAAGGGCAUGGUAAAGGGCACCCUUGUUCUCAUAUCAUUUCUCAUAUUUCUAAUUUUCUUGUCUAAUUCAUGAGUUACAAGUUUCAACGUGUCUAACGUGAAGCCAACAAAGUCGUGAAUGCUUUUGCAAGGAAUAUCCAACUUCAAAGUAUUAGCGCAGCUUUAACUUGAUGAACAAACUUAGAGUUUUCUAGGGUUUUAAUUUGAUUUUGUUGAAAUAGAGAGAGAAUGAGAAGAAUGGGUGAAUGAGGAGACAAGAAGUAUUAAAGUUGUGAUUUCAUUUAUAUGUAAAAAUACACAUGAAAGUAGCUUAUAUACAUGGUUUUUUGCUAGGUUACUUGAAGUACAAGUCAUAUAACAAACCCUAAAUACCUUAAGCUAAAAUCUAGUAAAUUUGUAACAAACUAUUAACAAACUAAACUAACUAGAUUUCUAAUGUGAUUAACCAAACAAGCUUGAUUAGAUCACUAACAAACUUGAAUUAUCAACUAACACAAAGUUGCGAUAAUAUAAAAAUAAUAUCAGAACUAGUCUCUCUUCAAAUGAAUGAUGCAUCACAACUUAUCUUUCUCCUUUGAUGGAAAAAUUUGUUCUAAUACCAAUUAUUGAAGGAAAAAAAUCAAUAAAAAAUCUUUAAACAAGCGGGAACACAACCACAAAAUAAGUAAAAGAGAUAAAAACAAAUCACAAGCCUAUUUUUCGAUACUUCACAGUUCACACCUUCAUUCAUAAUAUCUUAACAAAAUAUUUGUUACAAAAAUAUGCAUAGUUUUACUAGGAAUUGCAAACCCUCUUGUACAAUUAUAAUUUUUGCACAGAAAUAUUGCAAACUAAUCUUUCUCAAUUACAAUUUUUGUAAGAAAAACUACAAACUCUUUCAUGACACACAACUACCCAACCUCUUUUUUUUUUUUUUUUUUUUUCAUUACUCGAUGUGCGAUGUGAAAGAAUAUCAAUUUUAGAGAACAAAUGGCUAUAAUUUAUAGGUGGCCUUUAUGAUUUUUGGCACAAAUUUUCAUACUGUGAAAUGUGAAUAGAUGCAUGUGCAGAGAUGGAGUUCAUAAUUUAAAUCUUACGUUAAAAAUAAAACAAGUUUUUAAUGUUAUAGUUUAAAAAUAAAAAAUUGUUUCUUAUAUACAAUAUUUUUAUGAAUAUUUACAUAGUUCUUAAAAAAAUUAAUAAUGAAUGGUAUAUUCGUGUCCUGUAUGACACAAUGAAACAUAUGCACAUGAUUAAAUUAUACAUUAAGCCUAAUCAUAUGAUCUGAAAAGAUUUUCUCUACAUUUCGUCGAGCUAGCAAGGUAGAUAGAUGUCAACUAAUAAGUUGAUGAAAUCGGCUAAAAAAGAUUCCCAGUUGAAGUUUAUUAUUUUUUUGGUGCAACCCAGUUGAAGAUUUUAUUAACUUUGAUGAUGGCUCUGAACUACCAAGUUUUCUAGAACUUGAACAAGUCCUUAAUUUUAGUUGAAUUGCAAUACUAUGUCUAUAUGUAUAGUAUACCGUUUCUGGUUUCAUAGUCUGUUAAUUUUAAGGAAUUUUUUCAAGUGGCUCAAAAAAAACAUAUACAGUACAUUCUUUAGUUUUAUUUACAUCGUUUUCAAUCUCUUUCGCUUUUUUAAAUAUUUACGCAGAAAACAUUUUUUUUUUUUUUUCAAUCAGAAAGAGGCAAAAUUAAGAUUUGCAUUGGUUUUAGUCAUCACCUACUACAUUAAAUUACUAUUUGUGGAAAAUAUUGUUUAUAGCGUGAAACUGUGCUCUGACUGGCUCACAUGCAAACGGACAGUGGCAAUAUUGUUUAAGGAAGUAUUAAUCUUUUUUUUUUUUUUUUUUUUGACAGAAACCAUAUAGUAUUAAUCUAUUAUUACUACUAUAUAUGCAUAAAAAAGGACCAAUUAACCGACAUGCUUUGAGUUAUUUUGUGUUUUUUUUUUUUAUUGUUUCUGAAAAAAUCAACCAACAUGCUUCUUUUUUUGCGCUAACUAAAACUAAUUUAUUUAUGCUACUAAUCAAUUUAUUAAGACUAAAACUUGAGUACAAGUUAGUCUUUUUUUUUGUAGUUGGUGACCUACAAGUGGUACUCUUGUACUCAUUAUACUCAAAGUCAAGGGUACAUGCGUAUGUGUUAUGCUGAAUUCGAAAAUUCAUAGUCAAGACCCAGCAAUAUCAAGAUAUAUACACACAUGUCCUAAAGUGCAUUCUGGAGAAUAAGAACUACAAGUCUAAAGUUUUUCUUUUUGUUAGUAAAGUUAUUUUAGUCCAAGUUUAGACUAUACAACGCUGACUAUGAAAUAUGAAAGGAAAAAAAAACCUUCAAUUUUUGUCAAAAAAAUAAAUUCCAUUGUCUCUAACUAAUUAUUGAAAUUUUAAACAUGUGUUUGGUCUAACGGUAUGGUAGAAAAAAUCACGGCAAAAAUUCACGGUAACUACAAAAUCUAAAAAUUUGUAAUUUCUUUGAAAUUUGAGUUUGUAACUUCGAACGUCAAAUAAUCGUUCAUUAAGUCUCUAAAGCUCACAUGAUCAGACCAGCUUUGAUUGCAAAAUAUGACCAACUAAUUACUAAUAAACAUUUAAUUUUGUUAGCAGAUCAAUUUAUCUGUUUAAUGUUAAAAUAAAUCUGAUCCAAUUCAAUACUUUUGGACAUAGAUUGAAAUGGUUUCCCCCCCCCCCCCCCCCCCUUUUUUUUUUUUUUUUUUGUAAACUAGGUAUCCUCCGCGCGCAACUGCGGAGACUAAUCCCUCGAGCAUUGUGAGACCCAAAUGGACGGCAGACUCUCCCUAAGAGUUUUAACGCUGCUGGAGGUAUUGUAAAUAAUAUUUUGUGUUAUAUUAUUUUUAAGAGUGUAUAUUUCUAUAUAAAAAGAGUGAGUUUUGCCUUCAACCUCGAGGUAAUCGGUUUGAGACCUAGGCACUGAGAACAUGAGUUUUUUCGAUUAGCUCUUUAAAAAAUUAUUUAUAGGAGGAAUAAUUGUUUUUAUGGAAUUUGUCGUGUAAUAAAAAUCUAAAUCGUCUAGUCUACAAUUUUGUAUAGUCUUCAAUUAUGUUGUGAAUUCGGGCUUUGAAACUUCACACCAAUCCAAACUAUGAUGUGUGGAGAAAGUAUCAAUGGCAACCAACAACCAAAUUAACCAUAAGCAAUAACAAUAAUAUAUACCAAGUCUAUAAACCAAGUGCAUAGCAAAAUCACAAUCCAACCAAAUAAUAAACAAGAUAAAAGAGUAAAGAAAAAUAGACAACAACACCAAGAGAUUGUUCACCCAGUUCGGUCCAACCAUGACCUACUCUGGAGGAGAGAUUGAUCUCUUCAAUCCACUAUCAAUGAGUUCUUACAAAGAGAUACAAAUGAGUUACAAGAAAUUAGCUUCAACAAGCUCACAAAAAACAACCCUAAUUUCUACCAAUUUUCCCAAUCUCACCAAUGAACAAGACACUCAUGAUUUUUACUCUCCCAAGGUGUUUACAAUUGUUUCACAACUCUAGAAUCUAACCCCCAAAAGAGAACCAACUCUUAGCCUUUGAUUUCACUUAGGAUCUUCUCUUUUGGUUUCACAAGACUCACCCAAGUUGCUCGCAAAUGACUCUCCACUCAUGUGUUUCCCAACCCCAUGAAUCUUCUCCAAAAGGCACCAACCCUUUUCACAAGAGCCCCCUCUUUUGGUUCUCCAAGAUUCACAUCUUGAAGCUUUGAACCUCACCCAAAGACCCUCAACCUUUAGUAUCUAAAACCCUAAAAGUUUCAUCCUUUGGUUGUUAUGGGAUUCACCAAGCUUACCCAACAAAUGGAUCAGGGAGUGUUUAAAACAUGUUUCAGAUCUGUCAAAAUCGUGUCACAUUUUGCCUUCAGAACCAAACAUGCAUUCGGCAUCAGAAAUCGUGACACGGUUGCCAAAUCGUGUCAUGAUUCUUCACUUUCAUAAAGACUUAAUUUUGAGUCAUAUAUAUACCAACAAAUUCAAAUUAUAUAAAUGGACGGUAUAUUCUUUAGUAAAAGUAUUAUUUCACAAUUUAAUACGUAUUAUUAAAAGAAAUUAGAAACAAUUAUCAAAAAAUUAUGAUAGAUAAUAUAUUAAACUCGUCUAGUGUGUGUGUAUUUUUGAAGGAUAGUGUGUGUGUGUAUUAACAUCAUUCUCUAAUUAUUUUUGUAGGGAAACAAUGUUGGUUAAAUUGAUGUGUACUUUUUUUUGUAAAAAAUAAUCGACGUAUUUUUAAAUGAGAUUUACAUGUAGAGAGAGACAGCGGUAGACAUAGUAGUAGAACAAUUAAAAUUUAAAAGACCACUUUACAAAUUGCACCAAGUGGUCCUCUAAAAAAGAUCACCGACAGUUGCUUCACUUUACCUUCAUAUAUUUUAGAGCAAUGAUAUUUGAACAAUUAUUUAGUACAACAUUUUUUGACAAUCUUCUUUUUCUCUCUUUUUAUUGGUCAAAAAUAAUGAAGAGAAAAAAGAAGAGAUAGAGUAAAAAUAUAAUAUGAAUAUGAGAAAAAAAAUUGUCUAAAAAUUAUCACAAAAUGGUUGUACAAAUAUUAUUUCUCCAUAUUUUAGACACAGGCUAAUCAUUAAUUAAUUUGUGUAAAAAAAAACAAUAAUAUUAUUUUGACAACAUUAUUCAACACCUUAUCUUUCUUUCAAAAAACAUUAUUCAACACCUUAUGUUCAUAUUAUCAUUUGAUUUUCUUAAUUAUGUUUUACAUCAGUCACAUCAAGUGACAUUUUACACGCUUAUCAAUUUUUUUUGUCAAGUAGCCUAGUGUUUAGAACUCAUAUAAUUUAAUUGUGAAGAAAUGAAGUGUCAGAGAUUCGAACUCCAACCCCUGCAUAUAAUAUGCAAUAUCCCUACCAACUGAACUAAGCUCACGAAGAUCGCGGUUAUCAAUUUUUGUAGUUCAAAUAACAUCACUAAAAAAAGCUACGAGGCAGACGCACAAAUUUUCAUUGAGCAGUUGUGUUAAUUAAUUUUAUAACGCAAGGAAAAUGGUGAAGUUUUUGUGAAUAGAGAAAUGAUAUAUAUACAAUCAUUUUCAAACAACUUUUGUAAUAACUUUAUCUCUCAUUUUUAUAUUUUAUUUUUAUUUUUUUCUCUAUUAUUUUGGUUUUCGUUUAUGAUUUUUUGUAAGAAAAUGAUUGUCUAUGUAGUUAUCAAUCACAUUGAUGUUCAAAUAACAUUGCUUUUGUGAAUAAUGCAAAAUAGUUUCUCGGAACAAUCAAUUAUUCAAUUGAUAUUUACGAAAUUAGUUUUUGUAGGGUGUCCCUAUAAAUCACAUAUACUUUAAAACAGUCAUAUGUAUUCACGAUUCGAGAUCUUAUAAAAAAACCAUUCCAGAUCAUGUAUGAAAAUGAAAUAUAUAUUUUUUUUGACUGGUGUAUGAAAAUGAAAUAUUUUCAAAAAUAAAAUAUACUCUCUGCCCAUAUAAUGUCAGCGUAGGUGUCGGUGUUUUUCUACCGACUAUAAGAAAAACUGUAAAAUAAAUAAAACAAUAUAGUAAUUUAAAUUAGUGAUUGUAAAUUAUUGUCUUAAAUGUAUAGUUCAAUAUAAUAGAUUAAAAAUGAUGAAAAAAAUAUUAAUUUAAGAGUAGAAUUGAAAUAACAUAUAUGUUUUCGAUAGUUUAACUAAAUUGAUAAAGACAUUGCAUAAUAAUAUACAAGUGUUUUGAAAUUCCAUUUAUUCAUUACAUGUGAAUUUUUAGAUAUUAAACUAUUUGGAAAAUAAAAUAAAAUAUCAAAUAAUUAAGGUUUAAAUAUGUAAGUAGUCCCUGUAAUUUCGCGUAUUUUUGUUUUCGUUCCUGUAAGUUAUUUUGUUCUAAAACAAACUCUGUAUUUUGCUAACCUUUUGGAAAAGGUCCUUGCCGUCAGCUUCCGUCAACAAAAACGCCAUGGUGGCUAACGGAGCACACGUGGCAGUUCAUGAGUUGGCAAAGUUGAUGAGAUGGAAUGAGAGAUGAUAAGUUGUUAAAAUACAGGGACUAAAAUCAAAAACGUAAAUUGACACAGGGAUGAAAUUAAAAAAACGUUUAAUCUUCUUUUUCCUCUCAAAUUUCAGUCUUCUUCUUCCUCUCAAACUUUCCCCAAUCUAUCCCAUACCUUGCGCCCUUGAACCAAAACUCAUAUCCUUCAACAAUUUAUUCUAAUUCCAUUACUCAAUCAUAUUGUGUGUUUUGAUUGUAAUGUUAAGUUGAAACAUUGUAUGCUACUUAAGUUUGAUUAAUUUAGUGAUGGUUGUUGCGAUUGAUUGCAAAUUCAUUCAUAAAGUUUGUAGAUAAUAAAGGCAAGAAUACAUCUUUUUCAUCCCUCUUUUUUUUCCACAAUUCCCUCUUAUUCUUCCAGAUUGCUACAAUUACCAUACAUAAAUAGUCAGAUCCCCUUUCAUCUUUUCUCACUCACAUUCAAAUUCAAACUCUAAUUUCUCAAAUUUUUGCUUUUGAAUUGUGUAAUUUUGUGUUUUUAUGUAAUUGGUGUAGAGAGUUUAUGUUGUUUUAAUGUGUUGAUUAAGAGUGGGUCUUGUUGUUGUUGAUUGAUGAUUAUUAGUUUUGUUUAAAAAAAUAUAUAUGUUUGUUGUUUUCUUUCUUUUCCUGGGUUUGGUGUUGAUGAUUUAUGAAUAUGGUGAUGAAGAUGAAGAAGACAAUGAAGGAAGAAGAAGAAUAAGAUCUUGAUUUUAAAUUUGAAAUUUUGAUUUUACGUUUUUUAUUUUAGUCCCUGUGGUAAUUUACGCUUUUGAUUUUAGUCCCUGACUUUACACAACUAAUCAUCUCUCAUGCCAUCUCAUCAAAUGUGCCAAGUCAUGACCUGCCACCUGUGCUCCGUUAGCCACAAUGGCGUUUUUGUUGACAGAAGCUGAUGGUAAGGACCAUUUUCAAAAGGUCAAAAAGAUACAAGGUUUAUUUUAUAUAAAAAAAAAAACUUACAAGGACGAAAACAAAAAAUACGCGAACUUAGAGGAACCUUUUACAUAUUUAAGCCAAUAACUAAUAGCACUUAUUUUGGUACAUUUCUCUUUUGCAAAUGUGAAACUUAAUAUUGGAUGGGGUCAAUAAUUUUGAGAAUGAAUAAACCCAUUAUUUAGUCUUUUAAUUUUUUUUUUCCAUCCAUCAGGUUUCUAAACUAUUUACAAACACUAAAUGUCCUUAAGACAUAGCUCAAGUAACAAUAUUGAUAUUGAGAAGUUGGAUAUUUUCAUCCGAGUUUGAACUCGAAUUCUUGCAAUUACGAGUGUGAAUUUCAGGUAAUUUAUAUCAAUUUAUCUGUAAACAAAAGGAGAUAUAUACGCGUAACAAAUAGGUCUAAUGCAAAUUAACAACUUAUUUUUAGUUUAUAAAAUAUAUGAAAUUUAAUCCUUUAGUCCCUAGUAUAUUUUAACAAUGGGCACUAAAGCAACAUAUAUUUCAUAUAUUUUAAAUACUACUACAUCUUUCCUUAUGUAUAAGCUCAUUUGACAUUUUCACAUAUAUUAAAAAAGUUAGUAGUGUCUUGACAAAAAAGAAGCUCCUUAGAGUUUCCUUAUGUAUAUUUUUUUAAACCGAAAAAAUUGUGUACAAAAAAUGACUAUUAUUACUAAAAAAAAUCUUUUGCAUAUAGAUGUGUUCAACAUUUAUUUUGCAAUUCUCAAGACAAAUCAGUGGUACAUCUUAAUAAGUGAUAUAUUUGUUAGGAAAAAAAAUUACUAUAUGUAUCUAGUUAUUUGCAAGACUAAUGAUUCUUAGCAAAUAUGCUUAUAUUGAGAGAACUUUUUUCUAAAGAGAGCUUAUAAUUAGAGACUAAGAUUUUGCCAAAAAAUAAAGAAAAAUUAGAGAAUAAGGUUUAUACUAUACUUUAGAAACUAAUUUGAUGAGAUACGACUAAAUCGAAGAUAUAUUUUUUUAGAAUAGUGUUAGAACCUUAGAAAUUAUAAUCAAUAGAAAUAGAAAUGUUCCUUACAGAUCCAUAAUAGUGACAAUCUUGUCUUUUCUUUUGAGGAAAUAAUAAUAAAGGUGGUGCCAACAUUUCAACAAACCUAGCUAUUUUAAUUAUUCUGUUCUCACAGCCUGCACCUUAGAUCAAAUCCAAAUUGGGUCAUCACCGUUCCAAAAUGCUUAGGGACGUUACUCUAAAUGUCAAUAUGAAUGAGUAAUUCAAAUAGUUAACAUAGCCCGCCAGCCUUAUAUAAUAAUAUCAAUAUAUGUCGACUAAUUAUCGAGAUGCUAAAUUGGAGUACACUUCACAAACAAAAAUCUUUCAUAAGGCGUUUUUUCUCUUAAUACAUUUUUUCUUUUCUUAUGCUAGUAACAUUUACUCUGUAUUGGCCUUCCUAAGAAGAAGUUGGAUAGUAGCAAUGUGUUCGUGAGACUGCUGAUAUCUUAAAAGAAUGUUCUCAUAGAUUCCACUUUUUUAGUAAGCUUUUAUGUGUAUGAGUUUGCAAAUUUAACCCUUUUUAAUUCGGAUAGAUUUAUAAGUCACACCUUCAAGUACAAUCGACAAAAUUUCAGUAAUAAUUACGGUUUAGGGUUUAUGGGUCUAGAUCUACUAAAAAUGAGUGGGUGUAUAAAUUAGUAUAUCCUAGAGUUUAUUAUCUUACGUUCGAUCUUCUUUGCAGAAACUCGUGCAUGUUCGUGAUAUAUAUUUUCGCGAGAAGUACAUUUCCCUAAAACAAAAUCAACCACUGACAUAAACACGUCAAAUGUAAGCCGGUAAAUCCAAGCUUUACUAACACGAGUUAUAUUAUAUCAUUGGCAUCAGCUACUUAAGAACUACUGUAGAAAAUUUACAGCAAGUCAUCGAGGCUUAAUAAAAUGUGUUGAUAUAGUUACAAAGAUAAAUUAAAUAGCAGAGCAUACAUGAAGAGAACAAAUGUAGAGCAACCCCUUAAACAAACCCUCUCAGUAAGGUAUCUUCACAUUACUCUAAGUUCAUAAAAGAUGACUUUAAAAACGAUUAUUUCAAAAUGCAAGUAUUCUCCGACCCCUUUUUCCCGGAUCUAGAUCUAAUAGUGUAAGGAUAUAUAUAAAUCAUUGUCACAUUUUACAACUCAAGAGUUUACCUCAACUCGUUUUGUUUAGGUAAAUUCGACUCGAGAACUCGUAUGACUUUACCUAAAAUUAAAAUUAUAUAAAAUUUAUUAUAUAUGCAUGACAUAUGUAAGUUAAUAUAAUAUUGUAAAUAGGUCAAUAGUGCAAAAUAUGACUUAAUUACAAAGACAAAUUAUACCAUAAUAAAAUGUUAUGCUCAACUUAGCUUCAAAAUACAAAAAUUAACGCACAAAAUCAUAAGUCUCUAAGUUUAAGCCAUCCAUAAAACCAUCCAAAAAAAGAAAGUUUCACAAGUUCCUAAAGUUAUUAAUAAAACUAUCUAAAAAAUAAAGUAGUUAAUUUCUUCAAAACGUCAACAAACACCACCACAACAACCCUAACCAGUGUCACAAUCACCGGCGUUGAAAUAUGAAUUUCCACCGUCUGAAUCACAACCCUAAAUGGUAUGUGCUCCCCUGUUCAUGGUUUGAGAACUUAGAAAAGAAAAAGGGCAAUCCGGUGCACUAAAGCUCCCACAUACGCAGGGUCCGGGAAGGGGUCCCACCAUUUUUUGUGUAUUGUACGCAACCUUACCCUGUUUUUGAUCACAAAAGAAAAAGAAACGUUUCAUUUUAGGAACAACUUGUCACUGUAAAGGUAACUAUUAAUUAAACGUUUCAGUCUUUGGGGUUGUAGAAAAGGAAUUGGAUUUUGAAAAAAAUGGGCACAUAAAAAGGGCCAAUUUUUAGAUGUAAACUCGUAAAACUCAGUAAACUCGGUCGAGUUUACACGAGUUUACCUAGUGUUAACUCGGUCAAACUCGUUAAACCUUCCAAUUUUACCAGAAACCGAGUUUACCUCCGAAUUAACAUGAUUUUGGCACCUACGUAAACUCGAAGAGUUAACACUCAAUUUGCGGAACAUUGCAUAUAUAUUUAAAGAUAUAUGUAUAAUUAUAGAGAAAGUAGAGAAGGGAUAUACCAUUUUAUGUAGGGUUAUUAUGUAUCAAAUCAUAAAGAGUCGAGAGUUGUAUUAUACCAUAAUAUUCUUCCGUAAACUGGUAGUCAUGAUCAUGACGUAUAUUAUUCAAGUAUAUGCAAAAACAUGUCUGUAUCUAGUCUAAAUUUUUGACCAAAUGCAUGUAUUUGCUUAUAUUUUGUUACUACUUACUACUCGCCAAGUAAUGCUCAAUAUCUAAUAUAUAUAUUUCAAGACCAUCAAAGAUAACUCAGUUGAACAAUACAUAAUAUAUGCAAGGUUCGGGGUAUAUUACAUUUUCAAUUAUUCUAAUAAUAAAUUUAAAUGACACUUAAAUUAUACAACUAUUAAAUAGAUCUUAGUACCGUAAAAUUUAUAUUCGAGACUUGCUAGGGAGAACCAUCAACCUCAACAAAAAUUUCUACUUGAAUCUAACGCAAACAAAAGGUCCAACCAUCUAUGAAUCUCCGUUGAUAUCACAAAUGAUGUUUGAUACAAGAGAGACAUAUUAGAACAUAAUCUAUGUACAAUCUACAUUAAAAUAAAAAACAAGUCUACAGUCAUAUAAAUAACACAAUUUCAAAAUCUCAAAAUUAGGUAUGAAAACAAAAUGAUUAGAAAAAUAAAUGAUUCAAUCAUUCCGAGAUUUGUGCAAAAAAAAAAAAAAAAACAUUUUGAAAAUACAAUGUUAGAAACUUAUGAUCAAUAUAUAUUUUUCCUUACACAUCAAAAAUAAUUAAGCUAUAUUCUUGUCUUUUCAUUUUGGGCAAACUAAAAUUAAAAUCAAGGUAGUGUCAAUGUUUCUAUAGUCCUAGCUAUUUGAUUUUCUUCUAAGCUAACAAGAGUCUUCCAAAAUCAAAUUCGCGCUCAAAAUUAAAGCAACUUGGGUGGUAACCAUUCCAAAAUACUUAGGGCCACAUUGCUCUAAAAGUCAAUAAGAAUAAGUAAUAAUUCAAAGAUAGCCAACCUUAUAGUAUAUUUUAAUAUGAAUGUAUGCAUGUUUCCUAGAAGGUGAGUAAGCUAACUAAUCAAGAUACUUUGUUGGAGUUAAAUAUGGUAAAGAAUCCAACUAUAAAAUGGGGACUUGCCCCAGCAUUCUUUCACAAACCAAAACCAACUUCUAAGAAAAAAAUGAGGUCCCUAAUGGCCUCUGCUUCUCUCACUCUUGCAUUAGCCAUCCUCUUUUUGAGUUUCCCAUCUGAAAUUUCAGCAAACAAAUACGCAUAUUCCUCUCCACCACCACCACAUUACUCAUCUCCUCCACCUCCACCGGUUCACACUUACCCUAAACCAGUCUACCACUCUCCACCACCACCAGUUCACACCUACCCUAAACCAGUUUACCACUCUCCACCACCACCAGUUCACAAGUACCCUCACCCUAAACCAGUAUACCACUCUCCACCACCCCCAGUUCACAAGUACCCUCAUCCACACCCAGUCUACCAUUCUCCACCACCCCCAGUUCACAAGUACCCCCAUCCUCACCCAGUGUACCACUCUCCCCCACCACCACCACCAAAGAAGUCCUACAAAUACCCAUCUCCCCCACCACCACCAGUUCACACCUACCCUAAACCAGUCUACCACUCUCCUCCACCCCCAGUUCAUCACACCUACCCUAAACCAGUCUACCACUCUCCUCCACCCCCAGUUCACACCUACCCUCACCCUAAACCAGUCUACCACUCUCCACCACCCCCAGUUCACACUUACCCUAAACCAGUCUACCACUCCCCACCACCACCAGUUCACACCUACGUCCCUCACCCUAAGCCAGUCUACCACUCUCCACCACCACCAGUUCACACCUAUCCCCCACAUGUUCCCCACCCAGUUUACCAUUCUCCUCCUCCUCCAGUUCAUUCCCCACCUCCACCACACUAUUACUACAAAUCACCUCCUCCACCUUACCACAACUAGAUAGCCCAUAAUUGGCAUCACACCAUAUGGUAA